RNAcentral lists this ribosomal RNA (237 nucleotides) under uncultured Latescibacterota bacterium. RNAcentral describes it as "uncultured Latescibacteria bacterium partial 16S ribosomal RNA". It matches the Rfam family "Bacterial small subunit ribosomal RNA", at positions 1149 to 1382 of the family's 1533-position model. Lineage: Bacteria; Pseudomonadati; Candidatus Latescibacterota. The record is from RNAcentral.
CUGCCGGUGUCAAACCGGAGGAAGGUGGGGAUGACGUCAAGUCCUCAUGGCCCUUACAUCCCGGGCUACACACGUGCUACAAUGGCAGGUACAGAGGGCUGCGAAGCCGCGAGGUGGAAGCGAAAUCCCAGAAAACCUGUCUCAGUCCGGAUUGAAGUCUGCAACUCGACUUCAUGAAGGCGGAAUCGCUAGUAACCGCGAAUCAGCAGGUCCGCGGUGAAUACGUUCCCGGGCCUU